CCUACGGGGUGCACCAGUGGGGAAUAUUGCACAAUGGGCGCAAGCCUGAUGCAGCCAUACCGCGUGUAUGAAGAAGGCCUUAGGGUUGUAAAGUACUUUCAGUUGGGAGGAAGGCGUUGAUGCUAAUAUCAUCAACGAUUGACGUUACCAACAGAAGAAGCACCGGCUAACUCCGUGCCAGCAGCCGCGGUAAUACGGAGGGUGCAAGCGUUAAUCGGAAUUACUGGGCGUGAAGCGCACGCAGGCGGUUGAUUAAGUUAGAUGUGAAAUCCCCGGGCUUAACCUGGGAAUGGCAUCUAAGACUGGUCAGCUAGAGUCUUGUAGGGGGGGGUAGAAUUCCAGGUGUAGCGGUGAAAUGCGUAGAGAUCUGGAGGAAUACCGGUGGCGAAGGCGGCCCCUGGACAAAGACUGACGCUCAGGUGCGAAAGCGUGGGGAGCAAACAGGAUUAGAUACCCGCGUAGUC
RNAcentral lists this ribosomal RNA (464 nucleotides) under uncultured bacterium. RNAcentral's name for it is "bacterial SSU rRNA". It matches the Rfam family "Bacterial small subunit ribosomal RNA", at positions 338 to 795 of the family's 1533-position model. The record is from RNAcentral.